This 507-nucleotide ribosomal RNA is filed under the name Pseudoalteromonas sp. H105. RNAcentral's name for it is "bacterial SSU rRNA". It matches the Rfam family "Bacterial small subunit ribosomal RNA", at positions 1 to 502 of the family's 1533-position model. Lineage: Bacteria; Pseudomonadati; Pseudomonadota; Gammaproteobacteria; Alteromonadales; Pseudoalteromonadaceae. The record is from RNAcentral.
UUAAUUGAAGAGUUUGAUCAUGGCUCAGAUUGAACGCUGGCGGCAGGCCUAACACAUGCAAGUCGAGCGGUAACAGAAAGUAGCUUGCUACUUUGCUGACGAGCGGCGGACGGGUGAGUAAUGCUUGGGAACAUGCCUUUAGGUGGGGGACAACAGUUGGAAACGACUGCUAAUACCGCAUAACGUCUACGGACCAAAGGGGGCUUCGGCUCUCGCCUAAAGAUUGGCCCAAGUGGGAUUAGCUAGUUGGUGAGGUAAUGGCUCACCAAGGCAACGAUCCCUAGCUGGUUUGAGAGGAUGAUCAGCCACACUGGAACUGAGACACGGUCCAGACUCCUACGGGAGGCAGCAGUGGGGAAUAUUGCACAAUGGGCGAAAGCCUGAUGCAGCCAUGCCGCGUGUGUGAAGAAGGCCUUCGGGUUGUAAAGCACUUUCAGUCAGGAGGAAAGGUUAGUAGUUAAUACCUGCUAGCUGUGACGUUACUGACAGAAGAAGCACCGGCUAACU